GACGAACGCUGGCGGCGUGCCUAAUACAUGCAAGUAGAACGCUGAAGGAGGAGCUUGCUUCUCUGGAUGAGUUGCGAACGGGUGAGUAACGCGUAGGUAACCUGCCUGGUAGCGGGGGAUAACUAUUGGAAACGAUAGCUAAUACCGCAUAAGAGUAGAUGUUGCAUGACAUUUGCUUAAAAGGUGCAAUUGCAUCACUACCAGAUGGACCUGCGUUGUAUUAGCUAGUUGGUGGGGUAACGGCUUACCAAGGCGACGAUACAUAGCCGACCUGAGAGGGGGGUCGGCCACACUGGGACUGGGACCCGGCCCAGACUCCUACGGGAGGCAGCAGUAGGGAAUCUUCGGCAAUGGACGGAAGUCUGACCGAGCAACGCCGCGUGAGUGAAGAAGGUUUUCGGAUCGUAAAGCUCGGUUGUAAGAGAAGAACGAGUGUGAGAGUGGAAAGUUCACACUGUGACGGUAUCUUACCAGAAAGGGACGGCUAACUACGUG
This 495-nucleotide ribosomal RNA is filed under the name uncultured bacterium. RNAcentral describes it as "partial 16S ribosomal RNA". It matches the Rfam family "Bacterial small subunit ribosomal RNA", at positions 28 to 507 of the family's 1533-position model. The record is from RNAcentral.